UACGGGGGGGGCAAGCGUUGUUCGGAAUUACUGGGCGUAAAGGGUUUGUAGGUGGCUUGCUAAGUCAGACGUGAAAUCCCUCAGCUUAACUGGGGAACUGCGUCUGAGACUGGCAAGCUUGAGUGCAGGAGAGGAACGCGGAAUUCCAGGUGUAGCGGUGAAAUGCGUAGAUAUCUGGAGGAACACCGGUGGCGAAGGCGGGUCUCUGGGCAGUAACUGACGCUGAGGAGCGAAAGCGUGGGGAGCGAACAGG
This 253-nucleotide ribosomal RNA is filed under the name uncultured bacterium. Its description in RNAcentral is "partial 16S ribosomal RNA". It matches the Rfam family "Bacterial small subunit ribosomal RNA", at positions 524 to 776 of the family's 1533-position model. The record is from RNAcentral.